Molecule: ribosomal RNA, 440 nt
Filed under: uncultured bacterium
Lineage: Bacteria
Description: partial 16S ribosomal RNA
Rfam family: Bacterial small subunit ribosomal RNA
Source: RNAcentral
CCUACGGGAGGCAGCAGUAGGGAAUAUUGCUCAAUGGGGGAAACCCUGAAGCAGCAACGCCGCGUGGAGGAUGAAGGUUUUCGGAUUGUAAACUCCUUUUGUCAGAGAAGAUAAUGACGGUAUCUAACGAAUAAGCACCGGCUAACUCCGUGCCAGCAGCCGCGGUAAUACGGAGGGUGCAAGCGUUACUCGGAAUCACUGGGCGUAAAGAGCGCGUAGGCGGGAUGGCAAGUCGGAUGUGAAAUCCUUUGGCUUAACCAUAGAACUGCAUUUGAAACUGUUAGUCUAGAGUGUGGGAGAGGAGAGUGGAAUUCUGGGGGUAGGGGGGAAAGCCGGAGAUAGCAGGAGGAAAAUCAGGGGAGAAGGCGACUGGCUGGACAAUAACUGAUGCUGAGGCGCGAAAGUGUGGGGAGAAAACAGGAUUAGAUACCCGAGUAGUC